This is a non-coding RNA of Delphinapterus leucas (beluga whale), 3076 nucleotides long. Lineage: Eukaryota; Metazoa; Chordata; Mammalia; Artiodactyla; Monodontidae. The record is from RefSeq and is a predicted model, not a curated record.
UCGCCGGAGACGCCAUGUACCGGCUCCUGUCAGCCGUGACAAACCGGGCCGUGACCCACGGGAGCUGCGCCUGGGGCGGCGGGCGGCGCGCAGCUCACCAGCGCGCCGGGCUGCCGCCGCUCGGCCCCGGCUGGGUCGGAGGCCUCGGGCUGGGUCUGGGGCUGGCGCUCGGGGUGAAGCUGGCCGGCGGGCUGAGGGGUGCGUCCCCCGCGCCGCCCACCGCUGCCCCAGACCCCGAGACGCCGCCUCAGGCCGAGCCGCUGCCGCCGCAGGAGCAGCCCCUCGCCCAGUGGUCUCCGCAGACCCCGACGCCGCCGCACUCCAGGCGCUUUGCCAGAGCCAUCGACCGCAGCCGCGACCUCCUGCACAGGAUCAAGGAUGAGGUGGGCGCACCGGGCAUUGUGGUUGGAGUCUCUGUAGAUGGAAAAGAAGUCUGGUCAGAAGGUUUAGGUUAUGCUGAUGUUGAGAACCGUGUACCAUGCAAGCCAGAGACAGUUAUGAGAAUUGCUAGUAUCAGCAAAAGCCUCACCAUGGUUGCUAUUGCCAAAUUGUGGGAAGCAGGGAAACUGGAUCUUGAUAUUCCAGUACAAUAUUAUGUUCCUGAAUUCCCAGAAAAAGAAUAUGAAGGUGAAAAGGUUUCUGUCACAACAAGAUUGUUGAUUUCCCACUUAAGUGGAAUUCGUCAUUAUGAAAAGGACAUGAAAAAGGUGAAAGAAGAGAAAGCUUAUAAAGCCUUGAAGAUGAUGAAAGGGACGAUGGAAUCUGACCAAGAAAAAGAGUUAAAAGUAAAAGGAGGCAAAAGUAAUGAAAAGAAUGACUUUGCUAAAGCUAAGAUAGAGCAAGAUAAUGAAGCCAAAGGCCGAAAUUCAAAACCUUGCAAGAAAAAGAAUGAUUUUGAACAAGGCGAAUUAUAUUUGAAAGAAAAAUUUGAAAAUUCAAUUGAAUCCCUAAGAUUAUUUAAAAAUGACCCUUUGUUCUUUAAACCUGGUAGUCAGUUUUUGUAUUCAACUUUUGGCUAUACCCUAUUGGCAGCCAUAGUAGAAAGAGCUUCAGGAUAUAAAUAUUUGGACUAUAUGCAGAAAAUAUUCCAUGACUUGGAUAUGCUGACAACUGUGCAGGAAGAAAAUGAGCCAGUGAUUUACAAUAGAGCAAGAUUUUAUGUUUACAAUAAAAAGAGACGUCUUGUCAACACACCUUACGUGGAUAACUCCUAUAAAUGGGCUGGUGGUGGAUUUCUGUCUACAGUAGGUGACCUUCUGAAAUUUGGGAAUGCAAUGCUGUAUGGUUACCAAGUCGGGCUGUUUAAGAACUCAAAUGAAAAUCUUUUACCUGGAUAUCUCAAACCAGAAACAAUGCUUAUGAUUUGGACACCAGUGCCUAACACAGAGAUGUCUUGGGAUAAAGAGGAGAUGGUGUCUAUUUCUCCACUCCCUUGAACCAGAGGUGGCCUUGUGACUUGCUUUGACCCAGGGAAAUGAUGUUGCACAAGUUCCAGCGCUUAGGCUUCAAGAGGCCAUCAAACUUGCAUCUUCACCCUCCAAGAACACUGCCCCCAAGAUGGCCACGUAAGGAAACCAGACUACCUUACUGGAUAACCCAGCUGACGGCCAGUACCAGACAUGUGACUGAAGCCAUCUUGGACCUUCCAGUCCAGUUGAGCCUCCAUGCAUGAGUGAGCCCAGAUUUUUCCAAGGUUCCUAAACUGUGCAAGCUGAGGUGGCUUGGAGCAUCAUGGGAGAAACAUUGAUACUUGACAUCUUUUGGAUACCAUGCAAACUUCUAGUUCCAGGUUGCAAAGCACGUGUGGCUUAUUCUCAACACAUUCCUGAAAGCAGCAGCAACUUCUGAAACCCACCUCUUCUCUGCACAUCAGUUCUCCAACAGGUUCACAAAUAUUAUCCCCAAAGCUCUGCUGUUCGGGUUGCGAUUCAUCUGCCACUCAUGAGGAUCCUUGACACUUCAGGUAUCCAAAGAAUAAAACCUGAAAUCAAAGACUAGAAGCAGAAAAUCUGGAGGUUCUGACUUACAUGGGCUCCUGCUUCAGAUUAAUAAGAAACCAGUCCAUCGUCUGCCGCCAGCUGGACCCAGUGGAUCUCAGUGCUGCCUGCUGUCAGAAAUCUGAACCAUGCACCGAUUGCUUGCUCUGUGCUCCACUUCCGCGACCAAACCCUGCUUUCUGUUCAGGUGUCCCAGGAGUUUCAGCAAGACAUUUUGCAACCACGUGAGGCCGGUCUGUUGAAAUCAGUGUUACUUUGAGGAAGCAUUGCUAAGAAACCAAGAGAGAGAAACCAGGUCCUGGGCAUGUCAUUUGAGCUGCUGGAUCACUCACCUGUUGCUAGUUCUAGAUCUGAUUAUUUUAGUAUAUGAUUAAGUAAAUAUUUUUAUUAUUUAGCAUUUAGUAUUCUAUUAUUUACUGCCACACGUAUCUCAAUACCUCUUAUGAUGCUGAUUGUGAGUUUCAUAACAUCUUGACUUUGCCAUUGGAUCAAAGUCCAUUUUAAAGUUGGUUCCAAAAGGCUUUCUUUAAUCACUCAUUCUAACAAGAAACUCUACCCAAAGCACAUAGUACUUACUGUGUAUGUGCCUUAUUUGACACAAAAUCCUACAUAGCGAUGCCCAGGCUAAUGAAAGGAAUGAAUUUCACUAACAUAUUUUAUUGUCAAAAACUUUAUUAUUAGAGAAAGAAAUAAUACAAGUGUAUUAGAAUAGAUUCCUUCCAAUCCACCCUAUAGUAGAGUAAAUUUCAUGUAGCCAUUUUUUCGUAUUAUCAUGUCAUUUUUAUUUAAUUUUUACAUUCAGUGGAGAUAUGCAAAAUAUUUAACAAUCAGUUUGGCAUAAGCACUUGACCAAUCAGAUUGGAUGUCUGACCAAUCCGAAUUAAAAGCCAACCAAUCAGAACAGACACCUGACCCAUCAGAAUAGAUGAAGUGUGUGUCUGCCAGGUAUCUGCCUCCCAUUUAUCAUUGAACUUUUCUCUUGUGGGAUCUCCCCUCAAUUACCUGGGAAGCAAACUGAGGGCAGGGGCCACAUGACAUACCUUUGCAUCCUCCAGGUAGGCCUUGCUGAGCUGGUUUCA